Molecule: ribosomal RNA, 372 nt
Filed under: uncultured bacterium
Lineage: Bacteria
Description: bacterial SSU rRNA
Rfam family: Bacterial small subunit ribosomal RNA
Source: RNAcentral
ACGUAGGGGGCAAGCGUUGUCCGGAAUUAUUGGGCGUAAAGCGCGCGCAGGCGGCUAUUUAAGUCUGGUGUUUAAACCUUGGGCUCAACCUGAGGUCGCACUGGAAACUGGGUGGCUUGAGUACAGAAGAGGAAAGUGGAAUUCCACGUGUAGCGGUGAAAUGCGUAGAGAUGUGGAGGAACACCAGUGGCGAAGGCGACUUUCUGGGCUGUAACUGACGCUGAGGCGCGAAAGCGUGGGGAGCAAACAGGAUUAGAUACCCUGGUAGUCCACGCCGUAAACGAUGAGUGCUAGGUGUUGGGGGUUUCGAUACCCUUGGUGCCGAAGUUAACACAGUAAGCACUCCGCCUGGGGAGUACGGUCGCAAGACUG